AAGAAAAGUAAAUGUGGAAGACAAAAUAAUGGCCUCCCAAAGAUGUCCAUGUCCCCACAGUUGUGAAUGCGUUACCUAACAUGGCACAGGGACUCUGCAGUUAUAACUAAAUUAAGGAUCUCAAAAUGGGGAGAUUAUCCUGGAUUUCCAGGGGGCCCAAUGUAAUCACAGGAGUUCUUAUAAGGGAAAUAGGGCAGUGGGAGAGGCAGAGAAGAUGGUGUGAUGAUGGAAACAGACACACACACAGAGAGAAAGAAACUUGAAGACUCUAUAUUUUGAGCCUUAAAAGUGAAGGACAUGAGCCAAGAAAUGCAGGUAAUCUCUAGAAGCUGGAAAAUGAAAUUAAACAGAUUUUCUCUUAGCACCUCCAGAAGAAACCUGCUCUACUAACAGCCCAAUGAAACCCAUUUUGGAUUCAGGACUAUACUUCAUUUGCUUUUGUAUUUCUAAGGCCUUGCACAGUACCUGGUUUAUAGUCAGUAGAGACUCAACUUAUAUUUGUUGAACUAUUGGCAACUCCAAUUGCAGUCAAAUUGCCAAAUAAAGGAAAGAACACUACGGUAAAUGCUAAACUUAUUAACUUAAAUAUGUGAGAUAAAAUAAAAAUGUUAACCUUUACCCUCUUAAGUUCCUAAUUUUUUAUUGUGCUAAAAUAUGUAUAACAUAAAAAUUUAUGAUUUUAACUACUUUCAGGCAUACUGCACUGCCACAUUAAGUACAUUCAUAUUGUUGUGCAACUAUCACUAACACCCACAUCCAGCCUUUUCAUCUUCCAAAACUAAAACUCCAUAACCAUUAAACAACAAUUGCCCAUACCCCCCUCCUCCUAGCCCCUGGAACCACCAUUCUAUUUCCUGUCUCUAUAAUUUUGACUCAUAAGUGGACUCAUACAGUAUUUGUCCUUUGGUGGCUGGUUUAUUUCACUUGGCAUAAUUUUUCAAGGUUCAUCCAUGUUGUAGCAUGGGUCAGAAUUUCUUUACUCUUUAAAACUGACUAAUAUUAUUCUAUUGUAUGCAUACCCUACAUUUUGUUUAUCCAUGCAUCGACUGAUUGACACUUGGGUUGCUUCCUCUUUUGGCUUUCAUGAAUAAUACUGCUGUGAAUAUGAGUGUACCAAUAUCUGUUCAAGUCCCUACUUUUAACUUUGUAAGGUAUAUACCAAGUAAUGGAAUUGCUGGAUCACAUGAUAAUUCUGUGCUUAAUUUUUGAGGAGUCACCAUAGUGUUUUCCAUAGCAGCUGCAUCAUUUUACAGUUCCACUGGCAAUGCACAAGGAAGGGUUCCAAUUUCUCCAUCCUGCCGAUGGUUAUUUUCUGUGUAUAUGCAUGUGUGUAUCUGUGUGUGUGUCUGUGUGUUUUGGUAAUAGCUGUAUCAGUGAGAAUAAAGUGAUAUCUCAUUGUGAAGUUCCUUGGGUUUUUGGACCAAUGUGCAUUUUCCUGCUCACUCUAAGUCCCUUCUAAAUCUCAAACUACUCGUGAGUCUUAAACUGAAAGAAAACGUUCUUGAAAUCAUAUGAAUGAGGGACAUUUCCCACAGGAUAAUAUUCUCUUCAUUUUUGCAUAGUGACAUGGCAGUGCUGAAAUACCUGACACUUUGUGGUCAAUACACAGCUUUUUCCUACCAUGUGAGUCCUAAAUUAGUGUUUGUCCUCUCUUUAAUGAUAUAGUUCAUUUUGAUCCUAUUUUGUUUAUACCUUUAUUCUAUUCAUCCAGCUUUCCAAGCAACUGUAUCCGAGAGUCACUGGCAUGUUAAUAAAGAAAAUAUUACUUACGAACUGCAUUUUUAUAAAUCUAGGAGCAAAUUUUAAAACAUUUGGUAUUAUGCUAUUGUCAUUAUAACUUUAUUGUUACAGAUACAUUUGCUUUAAUCACUGUUCCAAGGAAAUUUACUUUUAAAAAGAAAGGAAACAGAUUUUAUUGACUUUCAGUGUAAAAGGCACUUUGCCUAAAAGAAAAUUAAAAUCGAUCUGUUUUUUGAAAACUUUCCAAAUAAAAUAUCUCAAAGUACAUAUCAAUAGGUUAAAAUUUUGAACUCUAUCUAGAGGGAAAAUCCAAUGCACAAAACAAUAUAUUUCACUAAAUAAGGAACUCAGUAACUUUGAACCUGAUUACUUUGAAGCACAUAUAUGUAGAAAGAAGAUAAACAAGCAGCUCAACCAGUAAUUAAUUGGGCAAACAGUUUAAUAAAAGAAAACUACUCCUGUCCUAGCCAUUUCUACCUUAGGUGGCAAGGAUCAACCAGAAAGAACAGAAGCAUUUAAGCAAGUUUUACAGUAUUUAGAAAGUUACACAAAGGCAUCAAUGGUACAAGUUGACUCUGUACCAAGAACAAGGCCAUGCCUGCCAAAGAAAUGCAAAGUGUAAAUGUUUAGCAAAGAAACUAGGUUAAGCAUGAAGGAUUAUGUGGGUGCCAGGAAUGCCACAAUAAGCCUAUUUUACCUUAUCAGAGAGGUGAUUAAUAAUGAUGCAUUUGCAUCAAAAUCAGACCCACAAAGUUAAAAUGUGCCAACUCUGGUCAAUAUGAUGAACAACCAGUUCUCAAAAUUUAAUGUGCAUACAUAUCACCUGGAAAUCUUGUUAAAAUGUCAGAUUCUGAGUUAGUAGGUCUGGGAUAGUGCCUGUGAUUCUGCAUUUCUAACAAACUCCUAUAUGAUGCCAAUAUAGUGGCCCAUAGCCCACAAUUUUAAUAGCAUAAUGUAUACAAUCAGAAGGCCUGAAAAACUAGGUGGAAAUUGAACUCUCUAGGGCUUUUGGUAAAGCAUUUGCUUUUCUGACAGAAGAGCAGACAUUGUUGAAGCCACCAUAUUCCUCUGUUUACAGCACAGAUAGAGAUUGCAGCAGCCACUUGCAAUUAUGAGUAAAAAGCCACCAAUCUGAGGCUGGUAUAGAGAAAAUGUAGAAAUUGCCUGUGUUUUUGAUGUCAUCAUUAAGCUACUGUACCAGCCUUGGACUGUCUUAUAAGGGAAAUAAAUAGAUACUUGGUUAAGCAACUGUAGGGGUGAGGGCAGGCUGCCCCAAGAUAGGCCACUUUGGCAUGAACAUUAUUUGGAGUUAAAAGUAAUCAACACUCUGCAGAUGUAGGAAAAUCUCUCCACCUCCCCUUCAACUGCCUAAAUUUCUAUUGGAGAGGAGAGCCUGCACCAGGAAGAGAGCUAUUAAAAAAAAAAAAAAAGAAUUUAUUUAUUUCAGAGAGAGAGAGAGAGGGGGAGCACCUGCACACAAGCAGAGGGAGGGGUAGAGGGAGAAGGAGGAGAAGCAGGUUCUCCACUGAGUGUAGGAGGCCAACUCUGGCUCAUGCCAAGACCCUUAGAUCACGACCUGAGCUGAAGACAGAUGCUUAACCUACACCCCAGGAAGAGAGGUAUUAACAGAGAUGCCCCUUUACCUAAGAACCUUAUCUGCAUAAUAGGGAGACCUUUGUUUUUCAAACCAUCUCCUUUCACCUUCCUGCUACUGGCCUUCCUCCCCUUUGUAACCUCAGCUCCUUAGUUAUACCCUUCUCCUUAGCUCACAUAAGCUUCAUGUUGCUUUAUUGUCUUUGGAAUUUCAUGUCUGUGUAGAUUCCAUGUAUGUACACCAAUUAAAUUUGAUUUUUUCCUGUUAAUCUGUUUCAGUUCAAUUGUAAUUCCAGCUAGGAGGACUUUGAAGGGCAAGAAGAUCUUCCUCUCUGACACCACUAUUAAUUAGGCGAAUAAACUCCUAAUUAAUACAUACAGGUUAGAGGUACCAAUGUAUAAACUAAGGACGAACCCCCCCCCCAAAAAAAAACUAGUAGGAAAGGGAGUAGGAAGAGGAGCAGAGGACCUGAGGAAUCCACUGAGUUAGACUUCUUUGAAUAAGCAAGGAUCUGCUGCAGACUAGUAAGCCCCAAUGUUUUUCAGAAAUAACCCACAACGAAUUUCUUUUAAUGUCAAAAGAAUGUCAGUGAUCUGCCUUCCCAACUCACAUACAUAAUGAUAACUGGUAUUUAUCAAGUAGUUAUCAUGCAUCAAUAGUGUUCUAAGUGUCCCAUAUGUAUACAUUUUUAAUUCAUUUAAGCCUUAAAAUCAUGCUUUGAGGUAAGUUUAAUAUCCUCCUCACUAUUAAGGUAUUAAGUAGCUUAAUGAAGUUCACUCACUUACUUAAUGAUAAAGCUGGGGUUUGUAUUCAGGUAACACAACUCCAAAACCUUAUAUUCUCAACCACUUCGUCUUAUUACAACCACACAAGAUAAGACUUCUGGUAUCUGUGGCUUGAAAAAGGAAUGCAUGUGUACAUAAUGAAUUUGAACACCCAUCUCAAUAAACAUCAGUCCCCCUGAGGGGCUUAAUCACACGUGAGAAAUUACUCAUCUAAUUCAGUGCUGUUAUUAACAUCUCUAGGUUGUCUUCUCCAGAUAAGGAACAUAUGAAACUUUAAAAUUUCAAUUUUAGAAUCAGAUUUUAAUAUAGCUGUGAAUAUAAGCAAUCACUGAUUGGAGGCAAAAAUUCUAAUUGUAAAAUAAUUUGGGGUCAUCUUAAAGAUGCAGUGACCCAGCCUACUCUAUCAGUCAAUCAGAAAAAGAAGUACUGCUAUUCAAACUGCAGGAGCAAACACAAUUCUGAUAUGUGUUCUUCUUUUGUAAAAAAUAAUAAUAAAUAAAUAAAUAAAAUUUUAAAAUAAAAAAUUAGACUAGUAAAAAUAAAAUAAUAAGAUAAAAUAAAAUAUCAAAAUCUAUCCAUUCUUUAAGACUCAGAUUGAUUCCCUAAAUCCACCUUUAGCUCUGACUCAGAAUUCCUUGCUCCUUCCAUCUGGCUAUCACAUGUUUUUAUUACAGCAUUUAUCACCUUGUAUUCUAGACCUUCAUAGGUCAGUCUCCUUCACUAAAUUGUAGAUUUCUUAAGGGCAAGCACUUUUCUUAUCUUCUGAGUUUAUUACAAAGCAUAUCUCAUAAAUGUUCUCAUAAAUAUUCCAGGAAUGAGUCUAAAGACUAUGAUAUGUAUAUACAGUCAUAACUUCUCAUGCUUUGUUUUAUUUUUUUUAUUGUUUUAUUGCACUUCCAGAUAUUGUGUUUUCUACAAGUUGAAGGUUUGUGGCAAACCUGCACUGAACGAGUCUAUCAUCACCAUUUUUCCAAAAGCAUUGGCUGACUUCAUGCCUCUGUGUCACAUUCUAAUAAUUCUUGUAAUAUUUUGAACUUUUCAUUAUUAUUAUAUUUGUUACCAUCAUUUGUGAUUAGUGAACUCUGAUGUUAAAAUUGUAAUUGUUUGGAGCAACAUGAACUGUGCCCAAAUAAGGUGGUUAACUCAAUUAAUAUUUUGUGUGUUUCGGCUCCCAGUGACUGUCCUAGCCAUCCCUCCAACUCUCUCCACCUCCUGAAGCCUCCCUGUCCCCUAAGACACAACCAAUAUUAGGUUAGUCCAAUAAGAACCCUACAAGAGCCUGUACUCAAGUGAAAAGAAGAGUCACAUGUCUCUAAUUUUAAAUCAAAAGCGAGAAAUUAUUAAGCUUAGUGAAGAGGGUGUGUCAAAAGCUAAGGCCAAAAGCUAGGACUCUUAUGCUUAAGUUAGCCAAGCUGUGAAUGCAAAGGCAAAGUUCUUGAAAGAGAUUAAAAGUGCUACUCCAGAGGACACAUUAAUGUUAAAAAAUAAAACAGCCUUAUUGCUGAUAUGGAGAAAGUGUUAGUGGUCUGGACAGAAGAUCAAAUCAGCCACAACACUCCCUUAAACCAAAGCCUAAUCCAGACGAAGCAAGGCUCUAACUCUCUUCAAUUCUGUGAAGGCUCAGAGAGGUGAGGAAGCUGCAGGAGAAAAGUUGGAAGCUAGUAAAGGUUGGUUCAUGAGGUUCAAGGAAAGAAGCUCUAUGACAUAAAAGUGCAAGGUGAGGCAGCAAGUGCUGAUGUAGAAGCUGCAGCAAGUUAUCCAGAAGAUCUUGCUGAGAUAAUUAAUAAAGACAGCUACGCUAAACAACAGAUUUUCAAUGUAGAUGAAACAGUCUUCUAUUGGAAGAAGAUGCCAUCUAAGGACUUUCAUCUCUAGAGAAGUAGUCAAUGCCUGGCUGACUCUGCUGUUUAGAGGCUAAUGCAGCUAAUGACUUUAAGUUGAAGCUAAUGCUCAUUUGCCAUUCCAAACAUCCUAAGGCACUUACGAAUUAUACCAAAUCUACUUUGCCUGUGCUCUAUAAAUGGAACAAUAGCCCAGAUGAUGGCACAUCUGUUUACAACAUGGUUUACUGAAUGUUUUAAGCCCACUCUUGGGACCUACUUCUCAGAAGAAAAUGUUUCUUUCAAAAUAUUCCUGCUCACUGACAGACAGUGCACCUGGUUACUCAAGAACUCCAUGGAGAUGUACAAUGAAAUUAAUGUUUUCACCUGCUAAUACAACAUCUGUAGUCCAUGGAUCAAGAAAUCAUUUUGAGGGAUGCCUAGGUGGCUCUGCGGUUGAGAGUCUGCCUUUAGCUCAGGGAGUGAUCCUGGGGUCCUGGGAUUGAGUCCCACAUUGGGCUCCCUGCGAGAAGCCUGCUUCUUCCUCUGCCUAUGUCUCUGCCUCUCUCUCUGUCUCUUAUGAAUAAAUAAAUACAAUCUUUUUAAAAAAGAGAAAUAAUUUUGACUUUCAAGUCUUAUUAUUUAAGAAAUAUAUUUCUUUUUUUUUUUUCCAUUUAUUUAUGAUAGUCACACACAGAGAGAGAGAGAGGCAGAGACAUAGGCAGAGGGAGAAGCAGGCUCCAUGCACCGGGAGCCCGAGGCGGGAUUCCAUCCCGGAUCUCCAGGAUCGCGCCCUGGGCCAAAGGCAGGCGCUAAACCGCUGCGCCACCCAGGGAUCCCAAGAAAUAUAUUUCUUAAGGCUAUACCUGCCUAUGAUGAAUCUGGACAAAGUAAAUUGAAAACCUCUGGAAAGGAUUCACCAUUCUAGAUACCAUUAAGAACAUUUGUGGAGCACCUGGCUGGCUCUACCCAGUUGAUAGAAUAUUUUGACUGUGACUACCUUUAAUGAACAGAAGUAUUUUAAUCUUGACACUUUCCAAUUAGUUUCCCUCCUAUGGUUUUUGGGCAUGGUAUUUUGGGUCUUAUUUUAAAAGUCCUUCCUAAUGUAGGAUAUAUACUGUAGGGAGUUUUAAGAACUCUGUAAUUUGAAUUCUAUUAGAAAGCUUUAAAGAGCUUUGCUUUCCUUGACACUUGAUCUCAAUAUUGUGAGCUCAAGCCCCAUGCUGGGUGUAGAGAUUACUUAAAAAAAAAAAAAAAA
RNAcentral lists this long non-coding RNA (7197 nucleotides) under Canis lupus familiaris (dog). RNAcentral's name for it is "lncRNA (ENSCAFG00000057017.1)". The record is from RNAcentral. Lineage: Eukaryota; Metazoa; Chordata; Mammalia; Carnivora; Canidae.